GUAAGCGAGUUUGCGAUGAGUCAAAAGAGAAUAUUGAUCAAGAGAAGGCAUUGAAGGACGAGUUGGAAUCGGAGGAGAAGAAUUCAUCUGCUAAGAUUGAAGAUGUUCAGGUGGAAUCGGAGAAGGGUGCCGUGAGGAAGGUUGCGAGCUUCAUUGGAGAGAAAUUUUGGGGAAUUUGGAGCAGGGAUUAAUUAAUUUCCUUUUUUUUUUUUUUUUUUUUU
This 221-nucleotide unclassified non-coding RNA is filed under the name Hevea brasiliensis (rubber tree). The record is from RNAcentral. Lineage: Eukaryota; Viridiplantae; Streptophyta; Magnoliopsida; Malpighiales; Euphorbiaceae.